RNAcentral lists this long non-coding RNA (302 nucleotides) under Sorghum bicolor (sorghum). RNAcentral describes it as "long non-coding RNA (SBIC_LNC013215)". Lineage: Eukaryota; Viridiplantae; Streptophyta; Magnoliopsida; Poales; Poaceae. The record is from RNAcentral.
CCUGGUGGGGACGGGGUACUCGGGGAAGAGCUUGGCGAGGAUGCGGACGACGUCCUCGCGGUGGAGGACGCGCUCGGCGCAGAGGUAUCGGCCGGACGCGGCGGGGCUCUCGAAGACGCGGAGGUGCGCGUCGGCGACGUCGCGGACGUCCACGUACGCCUGCACGGCGUUGGCGAAGGUGCGCGCGGAGCCGUCCAGGUACUUGAGCACGUGCGCGAUGCUGGCGUUCACCGUCGGCUGCAGCAGCGGGCCCACCACCAGCACCGGGUUCACCACCACCAGGUCCACGCCGCGCUGCCGGG